Molecule: ribosomal RNA, 1725 nt
Filed under: Salmonella enterica
Lineage: Bacteria; Pseudomonadati; Pseudomonadota; Gammaproteobacteria; Enterobacterales; Enterobacteriaceae
Also listed under: 33 other names
Description: partial 23S ribosomal RNA
Rfam family: Bacterial large subunit ribosomal RNA
Source: RNAcentral
GUUGGGUAGGGGAGCGUUCUGUAAGCCUGUGAAGGUGUGUCGUGAGGCAUGCUGGAGGUAUCAGAAGUGCGAAUGCUGACAUAAGUAACGAUAAAGCGGGUGAAAAGCCCGCUCGCCGGAAGACCAAGGGUUCCUGUCCAACGUUAAUCGGGGCAGGGUGAGUCGACCCCUAAGGCGAGGCCGAAAGGCGUAGUCGAUGGGAAACGGGUUAAUAUUCCCGUACUUGGUGUUACUGCGAAGGGGGGACGGAGAAGGCUAUGUUGGCCGGGCGACGGUUGUCCCGGUUUAAGCGUGUAGGUGUGUGUUCCAGGUAAAUCCGGUUCACUUUAACACUGAGGCGUGACGACGAGGCACUACGGUGCUGAAGCAACAAAUGCCCUGCUUCCAGGAAAAGCCUCUAAGCAUCAGGUAACACGAAAUCGUACCCCAAACCGACACAGGUGGUCAGGUAGAGAAUACCAAGGCGCUUGAGAGAACUCGGGUGAAGGAACUAGGCAAAAUGGUGCCGUAACUUCGGGAGAAGGCACGCUGACACGUAGGUGAAGUGAUUUACUCAUGGAGCUGAAGUCAGUCGAAGAUACCAGCUGGCUGCAACUGUUUAUUAAAAACACAGCACUGUGCAAACACGAAAGUGGACGUAUACGGUGUGACGCCUGCCCGGUGCCGGAAGGUUAAUUGAUGGGGUCAGCGUAAGCGAAGCUCCUGAUCGAAGCCCCGGUAAACGGCGGCCGUAACUAUAACGGUCCUAAGGUAGCGAAAUUCCUUGUCGGGUAAGUUCCGACCUGCACGAAUGGCGUAAUGAUGGCCAGGCUGUCUCCACCCGAGACUCAGUGAAAUUGAACUCGCUGUGAAGAUGCAGUGUACCCGCGGCAAGACGGAAAGACCCCGUGAACCUUUACUAUAGCUUGACACUGAACAUUGAGCCUUGAUGUGUAGGAUAGGUGGGAGGCUUUGAAGUGUGGACGCCAGUCUGCAUGGAGCCGACCUUGAAAUACCACCCUUUAAUGUUUGAUGUUCUAACGUGGACCCGUAAUCCGGGUUGCGGACAGUGUCUGGUGGGUAGUUUGACUGGGGCGGUCUCCUCCUAAAGAGUAACGGAGGAGCACGAAGGUUGGCUAAUCCUGGUCGGACAUCAGGAGGUUAGUGCAAUGGCAUAAGCCAGCUUGACUGCGAGCGUGACGGCGCGAGCAGGUGCGAAAGCAGGUCAUAGUGAUCCGGUGGUUCUGAAUGGAAGGGCCAUCGCUCAACGGAUAAAAGGUACUCCGGGGAUAACAGGCUGAUACCGCCCAAGAGUUCAUAUCGACGGCGGUGUUUGGCACCUCGAUGUCGGCUCAUCACAUCCUGGGGCUGAAGUAGGUCCCAAGGGUAUGGCUGUUCGCCAUUUAAAGUGGUACGCGAGCUGGGUUUAGAACGUCGUGAGACAGUUCGGUCCCUAUCUGCCGUGGGCGCUGGAGAACUGAGGGGGGCUGCUCCUAGUACGAGAGGACCGGAGUGGACGCAUCACUGGUGUUCGGGUUGUCAUGCCAAUGGCACUGCCCGGUAGCUAAAUGCGGAAGAGAUAAGUGCUGAAAGCAUCUAAGCACGAAACUUGCCCCGAGAUGAGUUCUCCCUGAGACUUAGAGUCUCCUGAAGGAACGUUGAAGACGACGACGUUGAUAGGCCGGGUGUGUAAGCGCAGCGAUGCGUUGAGCUAACCGGUACUAAUGAACCGUGAGGCUUAACCUU